AGAGUUGAUCCUGGCUCAGAUUGAACGCUGGCGGAAUGCUUUACACAUGCAAGUCGAACGGCAGCACGGGGGCAACCCUGGUGGCGAGUGGCGAACGGGUGAGUAAUGUAUCGGAACGUACCCAGUCGUGGGGGAUAACUAUCCGAAAGGAUAGCUAAUACCGCAUACGUCCUGAGGGAGAAAGCGGGGGAUCGCAAGACCUCGCGCGAUUGGAGCGGCCGAUAUCGGAUUAGCUAGUUGGUGAGGUAAAGGCUCACCAAGGCGACGAUCCGUAGCGGGUCUGAGAGGACGACCCGCCACACUGGAACUGAGACACGGUCCAGACUCCUACGGGAGGCAGC
This 341-nucleotide ribosomal RNA is filed under the name uncultured bacterium. RNAcentral's name for it is "bacterial SSU rRNA". It matches the Rfam family "Bacterial small subunit ribosomal RNA", at positions 8 to 352 of the family's 1533-position model. The record is from RNAcentral.